AUACAGCGAAACUGCGAAUGGCUCAUUAUAUAAGUUAUCGUUUAUUUGAUAGUACCUUACUACUUGGAUAACCGUGGUAAUUCUAGAGCUAAUACAUGCUAAAAAUCCCGACUUACGAAGGGAUGUAUUUAUUAGAUUAAAAACCAAUGCCCUUCGGGGCUCACUGGUGAUUCAUAAUAACUUCUCGAAUCGCAUGGCCUUGCGCCGGCGAUGGUUCAUUCAAAUUUCUUCCCUAUCAACUUUCGAUGCUAGAGUAGUGUUCUAGCAUGGUUACAACGGGUAACGGAGGGUUAGGGCUCGACCCCGGAGAAGGAGCCUGAGAAACGGCUACUACAUCCAAGGAAGGCAGCAGGCGCGCAAAUUACCCAAUCCCGACACGGGGAGGUAGUGACGAUAAAUACUGAUACAGGGCUCUUUUGGGUCUUGUAAUUGGAAUGAGUACAAUUUAAAUCCCUUAACGAGGAACAAUUGGAGGGCAAGUCUGGUGCCAGCAGCCGCGGUAAUUCCAGCUCCAAUAGCGUAUAUUAAAGUUGUUGUGGUUAAAAAGCUCGUAGUAGAACCUUGGGCCUGGCUGGCCGGUCCGCCUCACCGCGUGCACUGGUCCGGCCGGGCCUUUCCCCCUGUGGAACCUCAUGCCCUUCACUGGGUGUGUGGGAAAACAGGACUUUUACUUUGAAAAAAUUAGAGUGCUCCAGGCAGGCCUAUGCUCGAAUACAUUAGCAUGGAAUAAUAGAAUAGGACGUGUGGUUCUAUUUUGUUGGUUUCUAGGACCGCCGUAAUGAUUAAUAGGGACAGUCGGGGGCAUCAGUAUUCAAUUGUCAGAGGUGAAAUUCUUGGAUUUAUUGAAGACUAACUACUGCGAAAGCAUUUGCCAAGGAUGUUUUCAUUUAUCAGGAACGAAAGUUAGGGGAUCGAAGACGAUCAGAUACCGUCGUAGUCUUAACCAUAAACUAUGCCGACUAGGGAUCGGACGAUGUUAUUUUUUGACUCGUUCGGCACCUUACGAGAAAUCAAAGUGCUUGGGCUCCA
RNAcentral lists this ribosomal RNA (1029 nucleotides) under Colletotrichum fragariae. Its description in RNAcentral is "SSU rRNA". It matches the Rfam family "Eukaryotic small subunit ribosomal RNA", at positions 76 to 1116 of the family's 1831-position model. The record is from RNAcentral. Lineage: Eukaryota; Fungi; Ascomycota; Sordariomycetes; Glomerellales; Glomerellaceae.